UACGGAGGGUGCGAGCGUUGUUCGGAGUUACUGGGCGUAAAGCGAGCGCAGGUGGUUUAAUAAGUCUGAUGUAAAAGGCAGUGGCUCAACCAUUGUGUGCAUUGGAAACUGUUAGACUUGAGUGCAGUAGAGGAGAGUGGAAUUCCAUGUGUAGCGGUGAAAUGCGUAGAUAUAUGGAGGAACACCGGUGGCGAAAGCGGCUCUCUGGACUGUAACUGACACUGAGGCUCGAAAGCGUGGGUAGCAAACAGG
This 252-nucleotide ribosomal RNA is filed under the name uncultured microorganism. RNAcentral describes it as "partial 16S ribosomal RNA". It matches the Rfam family "Bacterial small subunit ribosomal RNA", at positions 524 to 776 of the family's 1533-position model. The record is from RNAcentral.